AAAAUCCGUCGACUUUAUAAGUCGUGAGG
RNAcentral lists this transfer RNA (29 nucleotides) under Poa pratensis (Kentucky bluegrass). RNAcentral's name for it is "partial tRNA-Leu". RNAcentral also lists the same sequence under 13 other names. The record is from RNAcentral. Lineage: Eukaryota; Viridiplantae; Streptophyta; Magnoliopsida; Poales; Poaceae.